RNAcentral lists this ribosomal RNA (253 nucleotides) under uncultured bacterium. RNAcentral describes it as "partial 16S ribosomal RNA". It matches the Rfam family "Bacterial small subunit ribosomal RNA", at positions 524 to 776 of the family's 1533-position model. The record is from RNAcentral.
UACGUAGGGUGCAAGCGUUGUCCGGAAUUAUUGGGCGUAAAGGGCUCGUAGGCGGUUUGUCACGUCGGGAGUGAAAACUCAGGGCUCAACCCUGAGCCUGCUUCCGAUACGGGCAGACUAGAGGUAUGCAGGGGAGAACGGAAUUCCUGGUGUAGCGGUGAAAUGCGCAGAUAUCAGGAGGAACACCGGUGGCGAAGGCGGUUCUCUGGGCAUUACCUGACGCUGAGGAGCGAAAGUUUGGGGAGCAAACAGG